Molecule: ribosomal RNA, 350 nt
Filed under: uncultured bacterium
Lineage: Bacteria
Description: bacterial SSU rRNA
Rfam family: Bacterial small subunit ribosomal RNA
Source: RNAcentral
GAUGAACGCUAGCUACAGGCUUAACACAUGCAAGUCGCGGGGUAACAUCUGGUAGAGCUUGCUCUUCCAGGAUGACGACCGGCGCACGGGUGAGUAACGCGUAUCCAACCUGGCCCAUACCACGGGAUAGCCCGUCGAAAGGCGGAUUAAUACCGUAUGCUGUCAUUAAGAUGCAUAUAUUGAUGACGAAAGGACUGGCGGUAUGGGAUGGGGAUGCGUCUGAUUAGCUUGUUGGCGGGGUAACGGCCCACCAAGGCGACGAUCAGUAGGGGUUCUGAGAGGAAGGUCCCCCACAUUGGAACUGAGACACGGUCAAAACUCCUAACGGGGAGGCAGCAGUGAGGAAUAUU